Molecule: ribosomal RNA, 352 nt
Filed under: uncultured Ruminococcus sp.
Lineage: Bacteria; Bacillati; Bacillota; Clostridia; Eubacteriales; Oscillospiraceae
Description: bacterial SSU rRNA
Rfam family: Bacterial small subunit ribosomal RNA
Source: RNAcentral
AGUAGUUUGAUCAUGGCUCGAGGACGAACGCUGGCGGCGUGCCUAACACAUGCAAGUCGAACGGGGUUAUAAUGAAGGAUUCCUUCGGGAUGACGGAAUUAUAACUUAGUGGCGGACGGGUGAGUAACGCGUGAGUAACCUGCCUUUGAGAGGGGGAUAACGUUCUGAAAAGAACGCUAAUACCACAUAACAUAUUGUUGUCGCAUGGCAGUGAUAUCAAAGAUUUAUCGCUCAAAGAUGGACUCGCGUCCGAUUAGUUAGUUGGUGAGGUAACGGCUCACCAAGACCGCGAUCGGUAGCCGGACUGAGAGGUUGAACGGCCACAUUGGGACUGAGACACGGCCCAGACUCC